This 71-nucleotide transfer RNA is filed under the name Olea europaea subsp. europaea. It matches the Rfam family "tRNA". Rfam says of the family: Transfer RNA (tRNA) molecules are approximately 80 nucleotides in length. Their secondary structure includes four short double-helical elements and three loops (D, anti-codon, and T loops). Further hydrogen bonds mediate the characteristic L-shaped molecular structure. tRNAs have two regions of fundamental functional importance: the anti-codon, which is responsible for specific mRNA codon recognition, and the 3' end, to which the tRNAs corresponding amino acid is attached (by aminoacyl-tRNA synthetases). tRNAs cope with the degeneracy of the genetic code in two manners: having more than one tRNA (with a specific anti-codon) for a particular amino acid; and 'wobble' base-pairing, i.e. permitting non-standard base-pairing at the 3rd anti-codon position. Lineage: Eukaryota; Viridiplantae; Streptophyta; Magnoliopsida; Lamiales; Oleaceae. The record is from Rfam by way of RNAcentral.
GUGUUUGUAGUCCAAUGGUUAGGAUAAUUUCCUUCCAAGCAAUAGACCCGGGUUCGACUUCGGCAAACGCA